Molecule: ribosomal RNA, 253 nt
Filed under: uncultured bacterium
Lineage: Bacteria
Description: partial 16S ribosomal RNA
Rfam family: Bacterial small subunit ribosomal RNA
Source: RNAcentral
UACAGAGGGGGCGAGCGUUGUUCGGAAUUACUGGGCGUAAAGGGCGCGUAGGCGGCCCGCUAAGUCGAACGUGAAAUCCCUCGGCUUAACCGGGGAACUGCGUCUGAUACUGGAUGGCUUGAGUUUGGGAGAGGGAUGCGGAAUUCCAGGUGUAGCGGUGAAAUGCGUAGAUAUCUGGAGGAACACCGGUGGCGAAGGCGGCAUCCUGGACCAACACUGACGCUGAGGAGCGAAAGCCAGGGGAGCAAACGGG